Molecule: long non-coding RNA, 860 nt
Filed under: Linum usitatissimum (flax)
Lineage: Eukaryota; Viridiplantae; Streptophyta; Magnoliopsida; Malpighiales; Linaceae
Description: long non-coding RNA (LUSI_LNC005657)
Source: RNAcentral
CGGACAGAAACGUUCAUGGCACUAGGGGAAAUAACGAGUACUACUUCUCUUCGUCUUCAUCUUACACAGCCACCAUCCUCCCUCUCUCGAAACCCUGCCACUUUCAUCACCCGAUCUAAUCCCAAGUCGCCGCCACCUCCUCAUUUUGACUCCGAUCAAUGAAAUCAUCAUUCACGGCCAUCACCGGCCCCCCUUUUAUUUCCAACAACGAUCCGUGUCCAACCCCUUCUUUGAAUCCUCGAUCGAUUAAGUCCUCACCGAGUCUUCCUCCCUCAUUUUCGCUUCCGGGAGAUCGACGACGUUAAGAGAGAUCAUCUGAACCCAUCUCGACGACGGUAAGUCGAUUCUUAUCCUUAGAUUCGAUUUCUUUUUUUGUUUAGAUCAGAUUUUUACAAGAGAUGCGAUUUCAUCCUAGGUACAGAAGGGCUCGCCGGCGAUUUCCACCUUCUCUUGACAACUCAUCAGCGAUAAUGACGGUGGUGAUCCCCUCUUUGCGACCGUCGCGGCGAUUACGGACCCGAUGAGCUUCCCCAUCCACUAUGCGUACUGUUCCUCUCUUCAAUCUGAGUAAAAACUAUCACCAAACUGCCACAAAAUUCAGCCCCAUUGUCAAACAGAAACAUCCAUCAUUCCAAGCCAAUGACCAAGACAGUCCAAAUGGAAACAACAAAUCAGAAAUCACAUUGUCUGAUUUCGGACUAACGCCUUGCUUGGUAGAGCGUCUUCAGAAAUCACAUGGUCUGAUUUCGGACUAACGCCUUGCUUGGUAGAGCGUCUUAAAACCAUGUAAACCAUGUAUUUUAUGUGUAUUUGAAAUGUAAGGGAUUGAUAGUAAAGAUUUUGUUAAAAUCUUUUGUUUG